CACCGGAGCUUGCUCCACCGAAAGAAAAAGAGUGGCGAACGGGUGAGUAACACGUGGGUAACCUGCCCAUCAGAAGGGGAUAACACUUGGAAACAGGUGCUAAUACCGUAUAACACUAUUUUCCGCAUGGAAGAAAGUUGAAAGGCGCUUUUGCGUCACUGAUGGAUGGACCCGCGGUGCAUUAGCUAGUUGGUGAGGUAACGGCUCACCAAGGCCACGAUGCAUAGCCGACCUGAGAGGGUGAUCGGCCACACUGGGACUGAGACACGGCCCAGACUCCUACGGGAGGCAGCAGUAGGGAAUCUUCGGCAAUGGACGAAAGUCUGACCGAGCAACGCCGCGUGAGUGAAGAAGGUUUUCGGAUCGUAAAACUCUGUUGUUAGAGAAGAACAAGGAUGAGAGUAGAACGUUCAUCCCUUGACGGUAUCUAACCAGAAAGCCACGGCUAACUACGUGCCAGCAGCCGCGGUAAUACGUAGGUGGCAAGCGUUGUCCGGAUUUAUUGGGCGUAAAGCGAGCGCAGGCGGUUUCUUAAGUCUGAUGUGAAAGCCCCCGGCUCAA
This 561-nucleotide ribosomal RNA is filed under the name Enterococcus gallinarum. RNAcentral describes it as "bacterial SSU rRNA". It matches the Rfam family "Bacterial small subunit ribosomal RNA", at positions 71 to 612 of the family's 1533-position model. Lineage: Bacteria; Bacillati; Bacillota; Bacilli; Lactobacillales; Enterococcaceae. The record is from RNAcentral.